AACGGAGAACGCUGGCGGCGUGCCUAAUACAUGCAAGUCGAGCGAAUGAAGAGGAGCUUGCUCCUCUGCAUUUAGCGGCGGACGGGUGAGUAACACGUGGGUAAUCUGCCUGUAAGACGGGGAUAACUCCGGGAAACCGGGGCUAAUACCGGAUAAUAAGAAGAAACGCAUGUUUCUUUUUUGAAAGUCGGUUUCGGCUGACACUUACAGAUGAGCCCGCGGCGCAUUAGCUAGUUGGUGAGGUAACGGCUCACCAAGGCGACGAUGCGUAGCCGACCUGAGAGGGUGAUCGGCCACACUGGGACUGAGACACGGCCCAGACUCCUACGGGAGGCAGCAGUAGGGAAUCUUCGGCAAUGGGCGAAAGCCUGACCGACAACGCCGCGUGAGCGAUGAAGGCCUUCGGGUCGUAAAGCUCUGUUGUAAAAAAACUUAGAAGU
This 440-nucleotide ribosomal RNA is filed under the name Fictibacillus barbaricus. RNAcentral's name for it is "bacterial SSU rRNA". It matches the Rfam family "Bacterial small subunit ribosomal RNA", at positions 28 to 455 of the family's 1533-position model. Lineage: Bacteria; Bacillati; Bacillota; Bacilli; Caryophanales; Fictibacillaceae. The record is from RNAcentral.